Molecule: ribosomal RNA, 481 nt
Filed under: uncultured bacterium
Lineage: Bacteria
Description: partial 16S ribosomal RNA
Rfam family: Bacterial small subunit ribosomal RNA
Source: RNAcentral
AUUGAACGCUGGCGGCAUGCCUUACACAUGCAAGUCGAACGGUAACAGGUCUUCGGAUGCUGACGAGUGGCGAACGGGUGAGUAAUACAUCGGAACGUGCCCAGACGUGGGGGAUAACGAGGCGAAAGCUUUGCUAAUACCGCAUACGAUCUAAGGAUGAAAGCAGGGGACCGCAAGGCCUUGCGCGUUUGGAGCGGCCGAUGGCAGAUUAGGUAGUUGGUGGGAUAAAAGCUUCCAAGCCGACGAUCUGUAGCUGGUCUGAGAGGACGACCAGCCACACUGGGACUGAGACACGGCCCAGACUCCUACGGGAGGCAGCAGUGGGGAAUUUUGGACAAUGGGCGAAAGCCUGAUCCAGCAAUGCCGCGUGCAGGAUGAAGGCCUUCGGGUUGUAAACUGCUUUUGUACGGAACGAAAAGGCUCUGGCUAAUACCUGGGGCACAUGACGGUACCGUAAGAAUAAGCACCGGCUAACUACGUG